UCAGUGGCGAACGGGUGAGUAACACGUGGGCAACCUGCCCUCAGCUCUGGGAUAACUCCAAGAAAUUGGGGCUAAUACUGGAUAUGACUGCUGACCGCAUGGUCUGGUGGUGGAAAGAUUUAUCGGCUGGGGAUGGGCCCGCGGCCUAUCAGCUUGUUGGUGGGGUAGUGGCCUACCAAGGCGACGACGGGUAGCCGGCCUGAGAGGGUGACCGGCCACACUGGGACUGAGACACGGCCCAGACUCCUACGGGAGGCAGCAGUGGGGAAUAUUGCGCAAUGGGCGAAAGCCUGACGCAGCGACGCCGCGUGGGGGAUGACGGCCUUCGGGUUGUAAACCUCUUUCAGCAGGGACGAAGCGAAAGUGACGGUACCUGCAGAAGAAGCACCGGCCAACUACGUGCCAGCAGCCGCGGUAAUACGUAGGGUGCAAGCGUUGUCCGGAAUUAUUGGGCGUAAAGAGCUCGUAGGCGGUUUGUUGCGUCGGCUGUGAAAACCUGAGGCUCAACCUCAGGCCUGCAGUCGAUACGAGCAGACUAGAGUGUUGCAGGGGAGACUGGAAUUCCUGGUGUAGCGGUGAAAUGCGCAGAUAUCAGGAGGAACACCGGUGGCGAAGGCGGGUCUCUGGGCAACAACUGACGCUGAGGAGCGAAAGCGUGGGGAGCGAACAGGAUUAGAUACCCUGGUAGUCCACGCCGUAAACGUUGGGCGCUAGGUGUGG
RNAcentral lists this ribosomal RNA (720 nucleotides) under Blastococcus sp. J12GA05. RNAcentral describes it as "bacterial SSU rRNA". It matches the Rfam family "Bacterial small subunit ribosomal RNA", at positions 92 to 825 of the family's 1533-position model. The record is from RNAcentral. Lineage: Bacteria; Bacillati; Actinomycetota; Actinomycetes; Geodermatophilales; Geodermatophilaceae.